Molecule: long non-coding RNA, 584 nt
Organism: Engraulis encrasicolus (European anchovy)
Lineage: Eukaryota; Metazoa; Chordata; Actinopteri; Clupeiformes; Engraulidae
Exons: 3
Source: RefSeq, a predicted model, not a curated record
GGUAACGAUAUGACACAUUAACUCGCUGCUCUGAGGGCGUCUUUAUUGUCUACAUGGUAAUGCUUAGCAGCGCAUGUAACCCUGCUCUUAGGGCACCUUUUCUGCAGGUUCAGGGCAUAUUUGAUGCACACAUGUACCGGUAAUUCCCCACACAGCAGAGGACUCCGAUGCGGAGCCGCGUUCAAGUCACCACAUCCGUGUCACUGUCACAUUCCUUUGGGUUCCACUUGGUGGAUCAGGGUCGCCACCGUGCGCCGCCCCAAAUUCUACUGUCAAAACGCGGACCAUAAUCGCAUCCAUAUCUGAUUCACAAACGCGGACGCGCUGUAAAAUCUAACGGACGUUGGUACAGUUUUUGUUGGGGCAGACACGACCGAACAGCGCUCUCCAUAAACAGGUGGAAUUACCUCUGGGUCGGACAGGGCUAGCCAGCUGUAAUCCACCCUGCUACAGUGAUGCCCGCCUGCCUCCCGGCUUUUACGACCAAGAAUCGGAGCGCUGAUGUGAUGUUUCCCCGUCGACUGAUGAGGGAAGGAAGAGAAGGCAGCCACGACACGCGAUUGUUCAACAUGACAGUGAGACAG